UUGAUUGGUUAAGUGAUUUA
RNAcentral lists this small nuclear RNA (20 nucleotides) under Arabidopsis thaliana (thale cress). Its description in RNAcentral is "snRNA_05360". Lineage: Eukaryota; Viridiplantae; Streptophyta; Magnoliopsida; Brassicales; Brassicaceae. The record is from RNAcentral.